Molecule: ribosomal RNA, 484 nt
Filed under: uncultured bacterium
Lineage: Bacteria
Description: partial 16S ribosomal RNA
Rfam family: Bacterial small subunit ribosomal RNA
Source: RNAcentral
AUUGAACGCUGGCGGCAGGCCUAACACAUGCAAGUCGAGCGGAUGAAGGGAGCUUGCUCCUGGAUUCAGCGGCGGACGGGUGAGUAAUGCCUAGGAAUCUGCCUGGUAGUGGGGGAUAACGCCGGGAAACGGGCGCUAAUACUGCAUACUUCCUGAGGGAGAAGGUGGGGGAUUUUGGGACCUCACCCUACCAUAUGGGCCUAGGUCGGAUUGGCUAGUUGGUGGGGUAAAGGCCUGCCAAGGCGACGAUCCGUAACUGGUCUGAGAGGAUGAUCAGUCACACUGGAACUGAGACACGGUCCAGACUCCUACGGGAGGCAGCAGUGGGGAAUAUUGGACAAUGGGCGAAAGCCUGAUCCAGCCAUGCCGCGUGUGUGAAGAAGGUCUUCGGAUUGUAAAGCACUUUAAGUUGGGAGGAAGGGCAGUAAGUUAAUACCUUGCUGUUUUGACGUUACCAACAGAAUAAGCACCGGCUAACUUCGUG